UGCACAAAGGGAAGAUUUAGCUACCUCAUGAACAACCACUCCCCCAUCUUCGGAAUCUAAGAGUCGUACUCCUAGAUUUGCAAGUCGGUGAAUAUCCUUCACCAUCUCCCUCUUUCCUUUUUCAACAUGAGAAAGACUGCCCAUAGACAAUAUGCUGAGGGUGUCGGCUACCACAUUUGCCUUGCCCGGAUGGUAGUGCAGGCUCAUGUCAUAAUCCUUUAAAAGCUCCAACCAACGCC
This 239-nucleotide long non-coding RNA is filed under the name Capsicum annuum. RNAcentral's name for it is "long non-coding RNA (CANN_LNC021939)". Lineage: Eukaryota; Viridiplantae; Streptophyta; Magnoliopsida; Solanales; Solanaceae. The record is from RNAcentral.